ACACUCCUACGGGAGGCAGCAGUGGGGAAUAUUGGACAAUGGGCGCAAGCCUGAUCCAGCCAUGCCGCGUGAGUGAUGAAGGCCCUAGGGUUGUAAAGCUCUUUCACCGGAGAAGAUAAUGACGGUAUCCGGAGAAGAAGCCCCGGCUAACUUCGUGCCAGCAGCCGCGGUAAUACGAAGGGGGCUAGCGUUGUUCGGAAUUACUGGGCGUAAAGCGCACGUAGGCGGAUCGAUCAGUCAGGGGUGAAAUCCCAGGGCUCAACCCUGGAACUGCCUUUGAUACUGUCGAUCUGGAGUAUGGUAGAGGUGAGUGGAAUUCCGAGUGUAGAGGUGAAAUUCGUAGAUAUUCGGAGGAACACCAGUGGCGAAGGCGGCUCACUGGUCCAUUACUGACGCUGAGGUGCGAAAGCGUGGGGAGCAAACAGGAUUAGAAACCCCAGUAGUCCCAUGAU
RNAcentral lists this ribosomal RNA (452 nucleotides) under uncultured organism. Its description in RNAcentral is "partial 16S ribosomal RNA". It matches the Rfam family "Bacterial small subunit ribosomal RNA", at positions 333 to 801 of the family's 1533-position model. The record is from RNAcentral.